UUUCCCUUUCCCUAUGAAAUCUAUAACCUUAACCUUAUAACCUUAACGGCCACCGUUUAACCUUAUAACCUUAACGGCCACCAUUUAACCUUAUAACCUUAACGACCACCGUUUAACCUUAUAAUCUUAUAACCUUAACUGCCACCGUUUAAACUUAUAACCUUAAUGACCACCGUUUAACCUUAUAAGGUUAACGACCACCAUUUAACUUUAUAACCUUACGGCCACCGUUUAAACUUAUAAACUUAUAAGGCGAACGGCCACCGUUUAACCUUAUAACCUUAAUGGCCACUGUUUAACCUUAUAACCUCAUAAGGUUAACAACCACCAUUUAACCUUAUAACCUUAACAGCCACCGUUUAACCUUAUAACCUUAACUGCCACCGUUUAACCCUAUAACCUUAACGGCCACCGUUUAACCUUAUAACCUUAUAACCUUCUCUUGAGUAGUACUAGAGAGUUUAACGGCCACCGUUUAAACCUUCACUGCCUCGAUCUUUUUAUUAAGAACUUAUUCAUAAAUAU
RNAcentral lists this long non-coding RNA (525 nucleotides) under Capsicum annuum. RNAcentral's name for it is "long non-coding RNA (CANN_LNC000664)". The record is from RNAcentral. Lineage: Eukaryota; Viridiplantae; Streptophyta; Magnoliopsida; Solanales; Solanaceae.